RNAcentral lists this ribosomal RNA (332 nucleotides) under uncultured bacterium. RNAcentral's name for it is "bacterial SSU rRNA". It matches the Rfam family "Bacterial small subunit ribosomal RNA", at positions 568 to 898 of the family's 1533-position model. The record is from RNAcentral.
AACGCAGGUGGUUUGGUAAGUCAGGGGUGAAAGUCCACAGCUUAACUGUGGCACUGCCUUUGAUACUACCUUUCCUGAGUGCAUGAGGGGGAAGCGGAAUUCCGAGUGUAGAGGUGAAAUUCGUAGAUAUUCGGAGGAACACCGGUGGCGAAGGCGGCUUCCUGGCAUGUAACUGACACUCAUGUUCGAAAGCGUGGGGAGCAAACAGGAUUAGAUACCCUGGUAGUCCACGCCCUAAACGAUGGGCACUAGGUGUGGGAGGUAUCGACCCCUUCCGUGCCGCAGCUAACGCAUUAAGUGCCCCGCCUGGGGAGUACGGCCGCAAGGUUGAA